CUCCUCCGACUGUACUCCCAGGACUGAACUUACGGGAAGGAGUGCUUCCAAGAUGGGAGACGAAGAAGAAGAAGCCGCUGAAUCUGGCGGCAAUGGCUGGGAUGCUGCGUUCUCGAGAAGAAGCGUUAUUUCUGCAUUCCAAGAAGGACGGCACAAUGUGUCGGACUGUCCGCGUCGCAUUGAACUGGUCCGAUGAGGCUGCUAUUGCACACACAGUGAGGGAAAUCCCAUACGGGAACUCGGAAGUACUGCUACAGUACAGGUACAUCAUCCCGUGACGACCACAUCG
This is a long non-coding RNA of Sycon ciliatum, 289 nucleotides long. RefSeq lists it as uncharacterized. The transcript has 4 exons. NCBI's taxonomy places the organism in Eukaryota, Metazoa, Porifera, Calcarea, Leucosolenida, Sycettidae. The record is from RefSeq and is a predicted model, not a curated record.